UACGAAGGGGGCUAGCGUUGCUCGGAAUCACUGGGCGUAAAGGGUGCGUAGGCGGGUCUUUAAGUCAGGGGUGAAAGCCUGUGGCUCAACCACAGAAUUGCCUUUGAUACUGUUUGGCUCGAGACCGGAAGAGGUUGGUGGAACUGCGAGUGUAGAGGUGAAAUUCGUAGAUAUUCGCAAGAACACCAGUGGCGAAGGCGGCCAACUGGUCCGGAUCUGACGCUGAGGCGCGAAAGCGUGGGGAGCAAACAGG
This 253-nucleotide ribosomal RNA is filed under the name uncultured bacterium. Its description in RNAcentral is "partial 16S ribosomal RNA". It matches the Rfam family "Bacterial small subunit ribosomal RNA", at positions 524 to 776 of the family's 1533-position model. The record is from RNAcentral.